GGGGAUUUAGCUCAGCGGUAGAGCGCUUGUCUAGCAAGCACAAGGCCUGGGUUCGAUCCCCAGCUCCG
RNAcentral lists this transfer RNA (68 nucleotides) under Rattus norvegicus (Norway rat). It matches the Rfam family "tRNA". Rfam says of the family: Transfer RNA (tRNA) molecules are approximately 80 nucleotides in length. Their secondary structure includes four short double-helical elements and three loops (D, anti-codon, and T loops). Further hydrogen bonds mediate the characteristic L-shaped molecular structure. tRNAs have two regions of fundamental functional importance: the anti-codon, which is responsible for specific mRNA codon recognition, and the 3' end, to which the tRNAs corresponding amino acid is attached (by aminoacyl-tRNA synthetases). tRNAs cope with the degeneracy of the genetic code in two manners: having more than one tRNA (with a specific anti-codon) for a particular amino acid; and 'wobble' base-pairing, i.e. permitting non-standard base-pairing at the 3rd anti-codon position. Lineage: Eukaryota; Metazoa; Chordata; Mammalia; Rodentia; Muridae. The record is from Rfam by way of RNAcentral.